Molecule: ribosomal RNA, 440 nt
Filed under: uncultured bacterium
Lineage: Bacteria
Description: partial 16S ribosomal RNA
Rfam family: Bacterial small subunit ribosomal RNA
Source: RNAcentral
CCUACGGGUGGCAGCAGUGGGGAAUAUUGCACAAUGGGGGAAACCCUGAUGCAGCGACGCCGCGUGAGUGAAGAAGUACUUCGUUAUGUAAAGCUCUAUCAGCAGGGAAGAAAAUGACGGUACCUGAGUAAGACGCCCCGGCUAACUACGUGCCAGCAGCCGCGGUAAUACGUAGGGGGCAAGCGUUAUCCGGAUUUACUGGGUGUAACGGGAGCGUAGACGGCAGUGCAAGUCUGGAGGGAAAGGCGGGGGCUCAACCCCCGGACUGCUCUGGAAACUGUACGGCUGGAGUGCAGGUGAGGUAAGUGGAAUUCGUAGUGUAGCGGUGAAAUGCGUAGAUAUUAGGAGGAACACCAGUGGCGAAGGCGGCUUACUGGAGUGUAACUGACGUUGAGGCUCGAAAGCGUGGGGAGCGAACAGGAUUAGAUACCCCUGUAGUC